This 739-nucleotide unclassified non-coding RNA is filed under the name Hevea brasiliensis (rubber tree). The record is from RNAcentral. Lineage: Eukaryota; Viridiplantae; Streptophyta; Magnoliopsida; Malpighiales; Euphorbiaceae.
UUCCUCUACCAGUAUAUCUUCAAGAGAAGGCUCUAUAUCAACAGAAUCACUACUUCCGGCAAAGGCCCCACCAGAACAACUUGGGCUUCCUUCCACUAGAUUUGAUCACAAAACUCAGGCCCACCUUGCUACUAGACUAAAGCAGUUAAUGGAAAAUGUUUCAAGGAAGAUCAACCUGAAGAGGUUAUUGGCCCCUUCUACCACUGGAGCGAUUGCAGGUUUUAUAGUUGGACUUGUACCUCAGAUGAGGAAGUUGAUGAUUGGUGAUGUAGCUCCUUUACGCGUAAUUGAAAAUUCAGCUAUUUUACUAGGGGAUGGAGCCAUACCACUUCUAACACUGAUCAUGGGCGGUAACCUUUUGAAGGGUUUGACCGGUUCAGGGAUUCAGAAAUCCCUACUUCUUGGCAUUAUUGUUGUCAGAUACAUUGCCCUGCCUCUUAUUGGUAUCGUUGUAGUCAAAGGAGCUAUUCGCUUGGGCUUGGUGCAACAUGAUCCAUUAUAUCAAUUUGUGCUUUUACUUCAAUUUGCACUUCCACCAGCAAUGAACAUUGGCACCAUAACACAGUUAUUUGGAGCUGGUGAGAGUGAGUGUUCAGUGAUUAUGUUUUGGGCUUAUGCAUUGGCUUCAAUAUCGCUUACUCUGUGGACAACAUUCUUCAUGUGGCUUGUAUCUAACUUCAUUUUUUUUUAAUAUCAGACAUAAACAAGUUGACAUGUCUACCAGUGUACUAUGAUAACG